UGGGGAAUAUUGCACAAUGGGCGCAAGCCUGAUGCAGCAACGCCGCGUGAGGGACGACGGCCUUCGGGUUGUAAACCUCUUUUAGCAGGGAAGCGGUACCUGCAGAAAAAGCACCGGCUAACUACGUGCCAGCAGCCGCGGUAAUACGUAGGGUGCAAGCGUUAUCCGGAAUUAUUGGGCGUAAAGAGCUCGUAGGCGGUCUGUCGCGUCUGCUGUGAAAACCCGAGGCUCAACCUCGGGCCUGCAGUGGGUACGGGCAGACUAGAGUGCGGUAGGGGAGAUUGGAAUUCCUGGUGUAGCGGUGGAAUGCGCAGAUAUCAGGAGGAACACCGAUGGCGAAGGCAGAUCUCUGGGCCGUAACUGACGCUGAGGAGCGAAAGGUGGGGAGCGAACAGGAUUAGAUACCCGUGUAGU
Molecule: ribosomal RNA, 414 nt
Filed under: uncultured bacterium
Lineage: Bacteria
Description: bacterial SSU rRNA
Rfam family: Bacterial small subunit ribosomal RNA
Source: RNAcentral